This 440-nucleotide ribosomal RNA is filed under the name uncultured bacterium. RNAcentral's name for it is "partial 16S ribosomal RNA". It matches the Rfam family "Bacterial small subunit ribosomal RNA", at positions 338 to 795 of the family's 1533-position model. The record is from RNAcentral.
CCUACGGGUGGCAGCAGUGGGGGAUAUUGCACAAUGGGGGGAACCCUGAUGCAGCGACGCCGCGUGGGUGAAGAAGCGCCUCGGCGCGUAAAGCCCUGUCAGCAGGGAAGAAAAUGACGGUACCUGAAGAAGAAGCCCCGGCUAACUACGUGCCAGCAGCCGCGGUAAUACGUAGGGGGCAAGCGGUACCCGGAUUUACUGGGUGGAAAGGGGGCGCAGACGGGGAUGCAAGCCAGGAGGUAAAGCCCGGGGCCCAACCCCGGGACUGCUCUUUGAACUGGGUUGCUGGAGUGCAGGAGGGGCAGGCGGAAUUCGUGGUGUAGCGGUGAAAUGCGUAGAUAUCAGGAGGAACACCGGUUGCGAAGGCGGCCUGCUGGACUGCAACUGACGUUGAGGCCCGAAAGCGUGGGGAGCAAACAGGAUUAGAUACCCGUGUAGUC